Cygnus olor (mute swan) is the source of this 2774-nucleotide long non-coding RNA. RefSeq lists it as uncharacterized. Lineage: Eukaryota; Metazoa; Chordata; Aves; Anseriformes; Anatidae. The record is from RefSeq and is a predicted model, not a curated record. The transcript has 6 exons.
GGGCUGCUCCCACACUCGUUGAAGCUUUAGUUCUCCCUUCUUUUUUCCUCCUUCUACAAGACAAGCUUGAAAAAAGCCGGUAGAAAUAAGAGAAGGAAGCUUUGGGUUACUGCCUACAACCUCACGCCUUCUGACGUGCCGACGACCACAACCCUCACACGAAGCUGUAAUGGCGGCCGCCCUCCACCAGGUGAGGCGACGAGGGAGCAGUUUUCCCGCCACCCGCGCCCUGAUUGGCUGCUCGGCAGCAGAGGCGCUUGCACGAGGGGAAAGGCGCCCACAGCGGCGACGGUAGCGCUGAAGGGGCUGCGAGGCUGAAAAGAGCACAAAACGGUAGCGGGGUGUCCUGUUCCUGGGAGAUGUUUUUUGGAUAGUUCUUAAAUGUCAGCGUAGCAGGCUUCCUUGAUAGCAGCUGGAUCAUGCAGCCACUCUCUACUGAGCAAGCUCACUUCUGCAGCUCUCCUGAAAAGUUUUACAAGGAGCAGCAAUUCACAGAAAAUAACGUUUGAGAUGAUGUCACAUAAGUGACAAAGGUUUGCAAUCUAGUCUUUUCUUAAUCUGGCCAGAGUACAAAGAAGGAGAGCUGUAACCUAUGAAUGCAGUUUACCACAGGAGCAGUUUUUGCUUGCUACUGAGCUAUUCACCAAGUCAGUACUUCUGGUAAGUAGUUCUGCCUUUUGGCAUGGACCUGUGCAGGGAGAGUCUGUAACAACAGUCUUCAGUGAUGAGCCAGUAUUCAGUCUGUGAACAUCCACAGUGCCCAGCAGAGAGACUUGCAUAGUUCUUUUAAUCCUUCUUGAUUGUAAUAAGCAACACCCUGUCUCAGAACUGAACUGCUAGCUUGUCAUAUUGCAGAAAGUCUGGAUAACAGAAACUUUCCAAAAAAAAUGACUAAAUUCUCUAAUGUUGCCAUAAAAUUCUUGUUCAGCAAAUUCCUGAGUGAAAUUUUCUAACUUACUGUGAAUAACCUAAAUAGGAUAAGAGCACUUUAAAGUUCUAGAUCUGCACGUACCACUUUUCUAGACAUUCAUAAUAACAAUGUACUUUAGCUUGAAUUUAUUUUACGAAAAAGAAGGAGAACAAAUUAUUCUUUAGUGCAAGGGUAUAAUGUGUUUUAAAUACAUAGUCUGCAAUGUGUGCAGAAAUCAAGAACGCCAUUUGUAAAGUUAAAUUGAAGCACACUAAAAGCAAAUAGUAAUUUUAUAGCUGCAUGAAUGAUAGCAAUUGAGUGACAGCAAUUAUCUGCUCCUGGCUUUAUUUCUUUAGAAAACUACAAUAAAUUCAUAUGGGAUAGAGGAGACCUGUUGAAAUUAAAACUGCGUUGUUCAGCAUAGGAUAGUAAGAAGCUUCAGCAUGGCUUGAACUAAUGCCAUGAGUUUGAGAUAUUUUGAUCUAGACAAAAUCUUCAUGGCAGCAUCAUCCCUAGGACGUGAUGUAGCAAAAGGCUUGUUAGGAGCUCGUUUUCUCCAUAUUCCUGUACAAUUCAAAUACUGUUUGUUCAUCUGUUCAUGCAUAUACCUGCUGAAAAUAUUUUUUUUUUUUUUUUUUGCAAAGAAGGAUUAUUUAAUUAUUAGAAAAGACUUCAGGCAUGUCAGUUUUGUGCGACUGGAGUUUAUUCAACUAAAAUCAUUCUGCUACUGUGAACAGGUUCCUCACCAGUCAGGUACAUUGACUUCUUUUAUUUCCUCAUUAUUCAGCUUUGCGCUGUGAUUCAACUUUCUAGCUUUUGCUUUUUGCUGAUUUAUACACUUGGAAUGUUAAAGAGAAAUACACCCUUUACGUUGAAAAUAUAAGUCAUAAAACCGCAUUGUCGGAAUAAAUCCACCAGCUUUUUAGCUAACUAGUAUUUUAUGAAGGGUGCAAUACUAAUGAUUGCAUCUAAUUUGCAUAUCACAAAUCUCUGCUUUUAAGUUGGGAAAUCUGUAGGGCUUUUGUCGCUACAAAUAAUGUAGCGCAGUACAGGGAUUGCAAUACAGUGGUUGCCGUAAGAGACCAGAUGACUACUUGCUCAAACUACUCCUGGUUUUUGUUUUUUUUUUUUCAACUGUUUUAAAGGAAAAUGUAUUAAAUUAGCUAUUCUCCACACUGCAUCAAGGAACAUAUUUCAUAAUAGCUUAAUUCAUAUUUAGACCCUGAACUUAAACAGUGAUUUUUUUAAAAUACUUAAACUGAUUUGUACUUGCUGGUUGAUCAGCACUUUAGGAAACGUAGCUACUUCCUUUUCUAUCCUAAAUGGAAACCGUUGACUUCUUCAAGAAAUCUCACCGUAUAAUUGUAUACUUUGAUUGCUAACAGAAGGCUGAAAAUCUGGGCUUGAAAUGGUAAAGUACAAAGCACGCAAUUUCGGUAAUAUUUGAAAGUCUGUUUUUCAAUUGGUCAUGCUUGAUUUCAUGUUCUUUGUUCUUAGCUAUUUAAAGUUUGCACAUAGGAUUGCGCUAUAGGAUACUGUAGCGACCUUAGAACAGUUAACAGUAGUUAUCCUCUAAAUCUAGACUGCUGUCCUUAUAGUAGAGGAGUGUGUCAUUAACCCAGGGCUAUGGUUUUAUCUCUGAAACUUUCUGCAUCCUUAGAUUUCCUGCUUCAUGGUACUGUCACAGUGCUAUACAUUUAAUGUGAUCACUAACUAGAAUAACACAAGUAAAAUGAAGACGUCCCAAACUGACUGACUGCUGUCAGCUUAUGGAGCCAUAUGUAUGGCUCCUUAUGGAUGCUGACUAAGAUUAGAGGUAGAUCUCCCUAAUAGCUAUUAUUUAUUCUUGAUUUCUUGUAAGCAA